This 1280-nucleotide long non-coding RNA is filed under the name Pogona vitticeps (central bearded dragon). RNAcentral describes it as "lncRNA (ENSPVIG00000001551.1)". The record is from RNAcentral. Lineage: Eukaryota; Metazoa; Chordata; Lepidosauria; Squamata; Agamidae.
CAAUUUUGCAUGCCCAGUAGUAAAUUUCCUUUCUAACAGGUACCCUAAAAAGUCGGUCCAGCUAGAGGAACCGAACCAGAAUUUUUAUUUUAAUGGGAUUAUUUAUUUAUUUAUUUAUUUAUUUAUUUAUUCAUUCAUUCAUUCAUUCAUUCAUUCAUUCAUUCAUUCAUUCAUUAAAUUUAUACCCCGCCCCUCUCGACUAUGUUUACUCGGGGCGGCUUACAACAUAAAAUAGAACAAUAUAAAAUAUAAAUAAUCAUAAAAUACAAUUAAUAUAUUAGUUAAUACAAUUAGAUUAAAAUUAGCAGAAUGGAAUGAGAUGAGAGAAAGAAAAUAAAAAACUUAGCUGACUAAGGCCUGCGUAAAUAGCCAAGUUUUUAAUUGCUUUUUAGACAUUUCUUGAGCAAUUCCAGAGGGACCUGCAUGAUGAAGAUGUUGGUUUGGGGGGGCAUGGGGCAUAGCUAGCUAGCCCCAUGACUGUGGUGGGUAGUGCAGAAAGACCAAGUUCCAGACCAAAUUUCGGUGAACUUGCAAACUUCUCUUUGACUGCAUCACUCUGGGGUUUCUGAUGGGGUGGCAAUAAUCAGGGUAGUUGGAGCUGCAAUUAAAGAAAUGAUUCCAAUCCAGUGAACCCUGGAAAUUAUCAAGCUCCGAUGAGGUGCUUUGUUUCUUCUCUCUAGAACACCACGACCUGUUGAGCAGCAAAGAACCAAUGAUUUCUGCCAGCAAAUGGACUGAAUCGGGAAUAGGAAGGAACUCGGUUGAAUAGAAAAUAAAUCACUGAGACUAAUAAAUAGGUGCACUCCUAGAUUUGGAGAGGACACCAGAAUUGCACAGCGGCCUGUUUGUUUUCUCCGUCUCCUGCUUGAGAUCCCAACCAAGCUUAAGACAUGCAGUCUGGCAGCAUCUUCAUUGCUGUAUUUUUAUUAAUGAUCUUGGCUUCCCCAGGGGAUGCGUACAUCGGGAUAGAUGCGACAAAUUCUGAAAUGUGCAAUAGCAUGAAGGGCACCUGUACAACGAAUCCUCAGUGCAAUCGUCAAUUUCUAGGAAAAUGUGCGGAAGGAAUCUGGUGUUGCUUACAAUGACUUGGAAAAGGAAGGAAAGAGACAUAUUUCAGUUCAGCAACAACAGUAGCUUCAACACCAAGAAUGUGGAUUUUCUGUCACUUGGGAAUCAUAUAAUGAGAUGGAGAUCUUAUUUCACAGAUAUUUUAUGAAAAACAAGGAAAACUGGAACACUGUCUCAAUAAAUAAUGGAAUAAUUAUUGGUUUUUUUGUGAC